Molecule: ribosomal RNA, 253 nt
Filed under: uncultured bacterium
Lineage: Bacteria
Description: partial 16S ribosomal RNA
Rfam family: Bacterial small subunit ribosomal RNA
Source: RNAcentral
UACAGAGGUCCCGAGCGUUGUUCGGAUUCACUGGGCGUAAAGGGUGCGCAGGUGGGUUUGCAAGUUUGAUGUGAAAGCCCCGGGCUUAACCCGGGAAUGGCAUUGAACACUGCAGAUCUGGAGGAUUGGAGGGGGGACUGGAAUUCUUGGUGUAGCAGUGAAAUGCGUAGAUAUCAAGAGGAACACCAGUGGCGAAGGCGAGUCCCUGGACAAUACCUGACACUGAGGCACGAAAGCCAAGGGAGCAAACAGG